UCACUAAUCAAGCUCGGCUUGCUGUUGGACCUCUUGUCGUUAAAAGGACAGGCCCCAAAGAUAAUGGCGGCGUCAAUAGGACCCUAGAUGCAACGAGCUUUCAUUAGCACGCAUUUUAGUAAGCCUUUUGACCCGGUCGUUUUAACCACAUUCUAA
Molecule: unclassified non-coding RNA, 156 nt
Filed under: uncultured fungus
Lineage: Eukaryota; Fungi
Description: sequence contains ITS2
Source: RNAcentral